GGUCACUUUUGUCUUUCCCAGUUUGUUCUCUCAGUGACUCCCUAGUAUGGAGGAAGAUUUGCUCCUAUGUUGUAGUUGUCUAUUCUAAUAUAAAAUGGUGUAUUGGAAAUGGAGCAAAAAUAGAUGUGAUUUUUAAUCCAUGAUUAUCAUCCAUUCCUCUAUCCACCUCAAUAUUCCGACCCCAAUUAGCAAUAAAGUUGACAGG
RNAcentral lists this long non-coding RNA (205 nucleotides) under Elaeis guineensis (African oil palm). RNAcentral's name for it is "long non-coding RNA (EGUI_LNC029551)". The record is from RNAcentral. Lineage: Eukaryota; Viridiplantae; Streptophyta; Magnoliopsida; Arecales; Arecaceae.